AUCAGUACAGGGAUCAAGAUGCAUCACAGACAUCGAAGUAGCUAAACUAGCAAUAUGAGAAGUUACUACAAGCGCUCCUGCAUGGGAUGCAUUACUAAACAAAACAUUGUUAUUAAAGCAGAGAUUCUUUGUGUGAGUGAGCUGGAGAAAAUGUGGUUGUUGUUGGUAACGAGCCUCCGGCGCGUUGUUCCGGCUAGAUCAUCCUGAUAGAGAGUCCUGACAAAAAGUGGUGGGGUUGCAAAAUAUAGACAACUGAGGGCAUCUGCAUAUAUUUGGCUAGACUAUUUGCAAUAUUAUUUUGCUCCCUAUAGACACGUUGGAUAGAAGGCCUACUCAGUUGUUGAAGCAACAACCUGCAGUCAUUAAGAAUGUUAGUGUAGUGCAUAGUAUGCAUAGUUAACAUACCAAUGAUGUCGUGUGAUCGGUGUCAGUUGGUAGCGCACAGCAAGCUUCAAUCCCAUGUAUAGCGCAAGGAGUUCUGUGUGGAUACUGGUGGUUGGAUAUGAUUUACCUGCAAAGCCCAUGACCCAGUGGCUUUGUGUGUUGCAAAAAACCCCACCUAUUCCAUAACUGUUUUGAUUUGAUGAGGCCGUUCCAUCUAUGUUUAGUUUAUAGUGAUUUGGUGCCGGAGGAUGCCAUUUGAUGUAGAGGGGGGUUGGUAGAUAUUUUGUGCGGUUUUUUUGUGUUAGAAAAUAGUACUCAGCUGCCGUACUUAUGAGCAGAGGAAUAUUAAUGGGCAUAGAUUUGCGUUCUAGUGUGUUUUUAUUCCGUAUAUGCCAUGUGUGUCGCCCUUCCUUUUUUCCCUUUUUGCGGGAAGUCCGGAUUUCGAUAUUCAUGGGGAACAACUCGUUUUCUUUGAGAAUUGGAUAUUUGAAGAGUCGUCACCUAACAGAUUAAGGUGCGUUAGGGCACCUAGAGCAAUCAACUCAUGUAACUAAUUUGCAUUACCAGAGAUUAUGGUAAGGGCUCGAAAUAACCUUGAGGGGAAGACAAUAGUAGUAUAGUGAUGCACCUUGUAAGUAGGGGGGGCCUAUGUAGGGGUAGGGUUCACUGGAAUCCGUUGGACUCGGCAAAAAUAUUGUAUGUAUAUAUAUCUGUUAAAAUAGGGUGGACCCUUUUAAAUAGUUUAUUUGACCCUCUAAGUCACAUAGUCUGGACAGAAGAGUUGGUUUGUUGAAGUGCUUAUGAACAUUCUUUUUACUUGAUGACCCAGGUACGAAUCAGGGGUCCUACAAUCUAUAUUAUUUUAUUUUCACAUUUUUAAAUUCAAUGAUUAUUUAAUUACUUAGUAUUCAACUGAUUUAUUUCUUAUAUUAUCUUUUCUGAAUGGGAGAAUUACAUCCCUUGUCACUUGGCCCAACAACCCAUCAGAAAAUGGCCCAUGUUUGAAGUCAUUACCCAGUAUAGCCCAGGUUGUACAUAAUCUGAAAAUUAAUUUUCACUAGUUAGCCCACCCCUUAUUUCUUCGUUCCCCUUUUUUUUCGUUCCCCUUUUUUCUUCGUUCUUUUUCUCCUUCUCAUGUCAGCCUUUGCACCAUUUCUCUACUAUUGUUAUUCUCCUUUAAUUCAUUUCUGGAUUUCAAUGGUUAGCUAAGGAUUUGAAUAAUAAAAGUCACCAUUACAAGUGGUUCGAAGAUGCGAUUUCAGAAAUUAAGUUUUCCGAUUUGUUAGUUGUUUGGAAUGGGUGUUGUCUUAAUUGAUUGGAAUCAUCAAGAUGAGUUCAAAACUCAAAUUUGAAGUGAUUUGGAGUAGAUUUAGGAUAUAUUUGAGUUAAAUUUCAGAAAUUGAGUUUUUCGAUUUGUUACUUGUUUGGAAUGGGUGUUGUCUCAAUUGAUUGGAAUCAUCAAGAUGAGUUCAAAACUUAAAUUUCAAGUAAUUUGGAGUAGAUUUAGGCUAUAUUUGAGUUAAAUUUCAGAGGAUGCCCAAGGAAGAAGAAGAAGAACACGUGAAGUUCCGUUGAUAGGAUUUAUUUGUAUAAUAAUGUAUAAUAUUAUAUAAAUAGUAUAUAAUAGUGUAUAAACACAACUGAUACACUAUUAUAUCCAAGGUUGAUACAUUAUUUAAAGGUAUUUGGUGAAUUUCUCGCAUUUUCUUUUUCUUCUUCUUCUCAUUCUUCUUAUACACCUAUAUACAUAGUGUAUCAAGAAUAUUUUUACUCUGUGAUUAUACAUCUUUAUAUACUUUUAUACAACUAUAUACAUACUGCACCUCUUUGUAUAAAAGUGUAUAAGCAUCGCUGACGAAAUUUUUGUACAAUUUUCACUUGCAGUUCUUGUAUAAAACUAGUCCAAAUCUCCAGCAAAUAACUUCAAACUUUGUAUACAACCUACUUAGACUAUUUCUAAUAAGUUCAAACAAUACACACUCCAAAUUUCUCACAAAAUCAUAAUCGAAAUUUAACAAGAUUAGCUAAAGGAGAUGAGAUUUUAGGUUUCUCGCGUCUGUUUUUGCGUUUUGCAGUUGUCAUAGGUAUGUAUAAACCUGAAGAUAUAUAAAAAAAAAUUUAAAAAAAAAACAGAGAAAUAUUGGUUAUGGAAGAAGGCACUAAUGAGUGUUGACUGAAUAGGGUCAAAAGUCUUUUUAAACUUUGUUUUAUAAUACAACUUGUUCAAUGUCUUUAUCUUAUUUGAGUUAUCCAACGUGCUUUACUUACGACCUAUUUGAUUCAACUGCUUAUUUGUAAUGGACUAAUUUGUGAAUAUAAGUUCGGACGGACCCAUAGUUAUGGACCAAGAGGGGUGCCUAACACCUUCCCCUCGAGGUUAUUUCGAGCUCUUACCCUAAAUCUCUGGUAAUGCAAACCAAUCCAAGAGUUAAUCACUCUAGGUGCCAUAACGCACCGUAAUCCGUUAGGUGACGACUCUUCAAAUACCCAAUUCCCAAAAGGAAAUGAGUUAUUACCCCAUGGAAUGUCGAAACCCGGACCUCUCUCCGCGAUGAGAGAAAAAAGGGGGCACGACAGAAGGUAUUCGGGGGGUUAAGCUCAUUUAAGCAUUUUAUCAAGCACUAGCUGUGCAUUAUGAUUUCAAGGUUCUCCUAUGGUGAAUUUUGUCAUCCCACAAUCCAAUGUUUACCCAUUUGAGCUCAAUAACCUUCCCACAAACCUUGUUGGUACAUGUAUGCAUAAAUAACACUCUCAUACCCAAGAAUCAUACUCCCCAUUAUCCAUCUUCUACCCCAAAAAAUCCUUACUCUAUAAUCCUCAAACACAUUAGCCUAUCUCGGCACCACAAAAUCUCAGGUUCUAGGUGAAACAUUUACGGGGCCUUACACAACAUAAACAAAAUGCGAAAUCUUUUUUCACACUAUACUUCAACCAUCUAGAGUGCAAAUCUUUAAACUAACGCGGACUGAAUUGACGCAUUUUCUCCUCGAAUAAAAUUUUAGGAAAUUUGUAAUCAACUGGUUGUCAAGGCCCUCUGGAUAUAGUGUCUUCUCACUUCAUCUCGUAUUCUAGAGCUAUAUCUAUCAAUGGGUAUUAUCUCUCAAGAAUCAGGACUAAGUGAUUCCACAUCAAACUCCUCAACAAGAUGGAAAGAAUUGUCUCUAAAACUAGAACUUGGUUGAGAAGAAUUAAACCUAAUAAAAAAUAUGUCCAUCUCAAUUCACAUCAAUAAAACUUCCUACAAAGCAACAAUGCCAAGAAAAACAAUAUUUUUAAUAUGAGUAAUCACACUCCUUAUAGUAAUAUCAGAAUAGAAGUAACAUAUAAUAGAGGAAUUACACCUCUUAUAUCAAGAACAAAGAAAAUAGAAUAUUUCUAAUAGGGGAAUCACACCCAUUCCAUCAAGAUCAAAGAAAAAAAAUAUAUAUUUCUAAUGGAGCAAUUACACCCCUUCUAUCACGAAUAAAAGCAAAUAUAAUAUUUAUAAUAGGAGAAUCACACCCAUAUAUUUUAUUAUAAGUCAUAACUUUAUUAUUAUUUUCUUAAAGAUAGAAGACUUACCAAUUUGUGAGAAGGUAUCCUUGAAAUCUGAAUCAACUUGGUUUCGAAUCAUACACUUCACUGAAAUAAUAUUUCAAAUAGCAUUAGCACAGAAUCUUCAAAUACAUAUGAAAUUAAUUUAUUAAGAGAAAAAAAUUAGCAUACCAACUAAAGAUUUAACAUCUUGUAAAUGUGCACCAUGAUUGUUGUCUGCUCAAACAAUAAAUUCAAAAACUAAAGAACAAUAGCUAAUUCAAAUACUAAAAGAAAGUAUCCUAGAAAUUCAAAUACACUUUGGUUUCUUGCAAGCAUUAUCUACUAUAUUAAAGAACUCCAGAAAAUUAAGCUAACAAAGAGCGAAAUCUACAUGAGCACUUUACUCAUCAAUUAUUUGUUCAACUUAAGUGUUGCUAAUUAGAUUUGCAUUUGAUGGUGUUAGUAAAACUGGGAUAUUUUGAACGGGGAAGAACGUAAAUCUACUCAUAGCCAAUCUAGGUCAACUGCCAAUCUAGGUUAAAAUCACACAAAUCAAAAAAGCAAUAUUUGUAAAAAGAAGAAAAACUUACUCAAAUAAUCAAAGAUUUGAAGAAGAGUCUCUCACUGAAUAAAACGGUGGGAUUCAAAGUUCAAAGAGAUGCAAAGAAGUGAAGAACUGAAAAAGAAAGUUGAAGUUGAAGGGGGGCAGAAAGAGU
This 4616-nucleotide long non-coding RNA is filed under the name Nicotiana tabacum (common tobacco). Its description in RNAcentral is "long non-coding RNA (NTAB_LNC006785)". The record is from RNAcentral. Lineage: Eukaryota; Viridiplantae; Streptophyta; Magnoliopsida; Solanales; Solanaceae.